AAAAUUAAUUCUUUAGGAUGCCCAUGAGCAUACCUCCAAGCCUUAGUCAGCCCAUGAUCCACAAUUGCCUCUUGGCUUGUUGAUGCAUUUCCAAUUAGUUUUUGUUCAUCUUCUUGUAAUGUCAUCUCAUCAAUCUUUUCUUCAAGAAUUUCUGCAUCAUCAUCAGGAACAACUCUCUUGCUAGAAGAGAUAUCAUUAGUAUCAUCAAA
Molecule: long non-coding RNA, 209 nt
Filed under: Phoenix dactylifera (date palm)
Lineage: Eukaryota; Viridiplantae; Streptophyta; Magnoliopsida; Arecales; Arecaceae
Description: long non-coding RNA (PDAC_LNC011596)
Source: RNAcentral